CUCCAGAGAGACUCUAGCCCUGCGUGUCUCAAUCCGGGGGUGAGACGCACCUAUCUCUCUUUCCCACUCCUUGGCCCUUGAGGGGUCAUUUGGAAGAGACAAAGAGAGACAUGGGCUGAAUCAAGCACCACCCCAACCUGUGGACCUAAAGGCGCUGUGAAGUUUGUUCCAUAAGCCAAGUGCUGGGGCCACACCACGGGAGAAUUCCUGCUGGGAAUAAAAUCUGAAACAGUCCACCAUUCCCAGGGAAACUACUUGGUCUACCUUCAAGCCACCCUAUCUCCAGAGAAUCAGAGACUACCAGCCCAGCUGCCUGGAAGGCCUUUCUCCCCAGCUUCUGGGGAACAGCUCUGCUUCUGAACAGAGCUGGAGAGCUGUAAUUAUCCAGACAGGAUAAGAGCUAUUUUGGGAAGGAGCUGUCUUGCUGCCAAGGCUUUUGACUUCCUAAACUAAAACAAGAUGCAAAGAAAAAAGGGGUGAGAGUAGGGAAGAAGAGGGAGGAGCCUGCUCAAUCAAAAACAUCAAAUCUUGAAUGAAGAGAAAUAGCACCCCUUCCAAAAGGUACCGGGGAUUGAACUCGGGUCCUUGUGCUUGCGCAGUAGGCGGUGAAACCACUGAGCUAAAUCCCCAGAGUAAUAUUGGUUUUGAUCAAAAAUGACACUUGUACACCUCUGACAAGUUACCUGAAUUGUCUGAGCCUCAGUUUCUUCACUGGGAAACCAAUGCCUGGGUAAAAUUUCUGGAGGCUAAGAAGUAUGAAUACGACCAUCCACAACAGGAACUAUUUAGUUCUCACAAACAAAAGACCUUUUCCAUACUCAUCAAGAUACAAUAAAAUGUGUACUGGACAGUACUUCACAUGCAGCAGUAAAUAGCUUUCAAGAGAAGUUUCCUAUUUCUAUGUAAAGAUUCCAAACUGGAGGAAUCUGAUUGGAAGCAAAUGGUUAAACAUGCUGCCUAUACACAGAGUCAAACCACCAUGACUACUAUAGCAGCUGAACAAAGUGUGAGAUAUGGAACUUGAACUGCUGCCCUGAUAGCAACUGAAGCAGACGAGAGAAGAAAGGAGCUCACAACCAGGAUGCUCAAAAUCAGGCUGGAAUCCAUCUAUGAUCCAGUUCCAGUCAGUCUGACAAGUCACUCUGAUCCAGUACGAUUAUCCUGUGCACACAAGUUUUAAAGGACAAAGAAGGGAGCUUAAAAUUGAUGUGUACAUUUAUUGUUCCUAUUAUUCUUAUUUGUGGUGCUAAAGCUCAAAACCAGUGCAUUGAAGAUGCUAGACACACACUUUAUUGCUGAGCAAUAUCCCCAUCUCAGUAUGUACAAUUUUAAAGACAAAAAGAAUAUACUUUCUAUUCAACUAAAUUCAAGGGAAAAGAAUUUUGUUCUUUAUAAUCAAGGGAGAGUAUGAUCAACAGUGAAUCAUGGAGAUG
RNAcentral lists this long non-coding RNA (1433 nucleotides) under Heterocephalus glaber (naked mole-rat). Its description in RNAcentral is "lncRNA (ENSHGLG00000033475.1)". The record is from RNAcentral. Lineage: Eukaryota; Metazoa; Chordata; Mammalia; Rodentia; Bathyergidae.